This 851-nucleotide long non-coding RNA is filed under the name Marmota marmota marmota (Alpine marmot). Its description in RNAcentral is "lncRNA (ENSMMMG00000015437.1)". The record is from RNAcentral. Lineage: Eukaryota; Metazoa; Chordata; Mammalia; Rodentia; Sciuridae.
GGAGACGAAGGAGCCGGAGGGAAUUUGGGUCUGUGUGUCUGGCUCAGACCCUAGGCGCUGAGGGGGGCCGUUGGGCAUCAAGCCAAGGGUCUUUCUUCUCGGCGCCCCUUAUUCCGCGACCUGGCAGGAAUCCGUGGGCCGAAGAGCGCCCCGGCUGAUCCGCCUGCCCCGGGCCGGGCUACAAGGAAAGUCUUGGAGCAGGGGGCCGUCCCGUCCCUGUCUUUAAAAUGAGCGCAAUAAAAGGGGGCAAAUCCUGGAACGCGAACCUGAUCGCAUGUCACAGAAGCAACUUGCCAUGAAAUCCGCUAAUGCGCCGCGACUCGCCCACCAGGCAUGUAGCCACAGCAAAUUAUUGCUCAUUUGAUACCAAGAAUUCUAUUGACCAUCGCUUUCGUUGGAGAGAGAAUUCUAACUACUAGCUGCUCUGUAGUCAGUCAGAGCUGAGGCUGAGAACACUACACAGCUAAAACAAGUAAAUUGAGCCCUCUGCCUCCAGGAAUUGAUGGAGAUGUGUUCAUUACAUUGGGCCACGUGAACAUGCAUAGAAAUCUGCUUUUUGCUCUGCCAGUCGGCAUUGCCCCAGUGCAAUCAAAAGGUCGGCCCCUUUGGAACAGAACUGUCUAAUUGGAGGGCUGGACAUUCGUUUGCCUCUCCUGUAUCCCUUCUGGCAACUUCUUUUCAGUUCUGGCCAGGUUGGGCAAUGAAAUGAUGCAUUAGAAGAUACCAAAUGUGGACACAAUUAUUAAAACCGAGCUUCCUUUAAAGAAAAAAAAAACACUUCCUAAAAUGUCUAGAUGAGUGACUUUAUGUAGUCACUCAUAAUUUCCUAGAUAAAAUUGCUCCAUUCCCAC